UGCACGGUGGCUUAGUGGUUAGCGUGUUUCCCUCACACCUCCAGGGUCCGGGGUUCGAUCCCCGGCCGUGUGU
Non-coding RNA from Ameiurus melas (black bullhead), 73 nucleotides. NCBI's taxonomy places the organism in Eukaryota, Metazoa, Chordata, Actinopteri, Siluriformes, Ictaluridae. The record is from the annotation of a GenBank genome assembly.